GUAGUCGAUGGGAAACAGGUUAAUAUUCCUGUACUUGGUGUUACUGCGAAGGGGGGACGGAGAAGGCUAUGUUGGCCGGGCGACGGUUGUCCCGGUUUAAGCGUGUAGGCUGGUUUUCCAGGCAAAUCCGGAAAACCAAGGCUGAGGCGUGAUGACGAGGCACUACGGUGCUGAAGUGACAAAUGCCCUGCUUCCAGGAAAAGCCUCUAAGCAUCAGGUAACAUCAAAUCGUACCCCAAACCGACACAGGUGGUCAGGUAGAGAAUACCAAGGCGCUUGAGAGAACUCGGGUGAAGGAACUAGGCAAAAUGGUGCCGUAACUUCGGGAGAAGGCACGCUGAUAUGUAGGUGAAGCGACUUGCUCGUGGAGCUGAAAUCAGUCGAAGAUACCAGCUGGCUGCAACUGUUUAUUAAAAACACAGCACUGUGCAAACACGAAAGUGGACGUAUACGGUGUGACGCCUGCCCGGUGCCGGAAGGUUAAUUGAUGGGGUUAGCGGUAACGCGAAGCUCUUGAUCGAAGCCCCGGUAAACGGCGGCCGUAACUAUAACGGUCCUAAGGUAGCGAAAUUCCUUGUCGGGUAAGUUCCGACCUGCACGAAUGGCGUAAUGAUGGCCAGGCUGUCUCCACCCGAGACUCAGUGAAAUUGAACUCGCUGUGAAGAUGCAGUGUACCCGCGGCAAGACGGAAAGACCCCGUGAACCUUUACUAUAGCUUGACACUGAACAUUGAGCCUUGAUGUGUAGGAUAGGUGGGAGGCUUUGAAGUGUGGACGCCAGUCUGCAUGGAGCCGACCUUGAAAUACCACCCUUUAAUGUUUGAUGUUCUAACGUUGGCCCGUAAUCCGGGUUGCGGACAGUGUCUGGUGGGUAGUUUGACUGGGGCGGUCUCCUCCUAAAGAGUAACGGAGGAGCACGAAGGUUGGCUAAUCCUGGUCGGACAUCAGGAGGUUAGUGCAAUGGCAUAAGCCAGCUUGACUGCGAGCGUGACGGCGCGAGCAGGUGCGAAAGCAGGUCAUAGUGAUCCGGUGGUUCUGAAUGGAAGGGCCAUCGCUCAACGGAUAAAAGGUACUCCGGGGAUAACAGGCUGAUACCGCCCAAGAGUUCAUAUCGACGGCGGUGUUUGGCACCUCGAUGUCGGCUCAUCACAUCCUGGGGCUGAAGUAGGUCCCAAGGGUAUGGCUGUUCGCCAUUUAAAGUGGUACGCGAGCUGGGUUUAGAACGUCGUGAGACAGUUCGGUCCCUAUCUGCCGUGGGCGCUGGAGAACUGAGGGGGGCUGCUCCUAGUACGAGAGGACCGGAGUGGACGCAUCACUGGUGUUCGGGUUGUCAUGCCAAUGGCACUGCCCGGUAGCUAAAUGCGGAAGAGAUAAGUGCUGAAAGCAUCUAAGCACGAAACUUGCCCCGAGAUGAGUUCUCCCUGAGACUUAGAGUCUCCUGAAGGAACGUUGAAGACGACGACGUUGAUAGGCCGGGUGUGUAAGCGCAGCGAUGCGUUGAGCUAACCGGUACUAAUGAACCGUGAGGCUUAACCUUACAACGCCGAAG
Molecule: ribosomal RNA, 1548 nt
Filed under: Escherichia coli
Lineage: Bacteria; Pseudomonadati; Pseudomonadota; Gammaproteobacteria; Enterobacterales; Enterobacteriaceae
Description: partial 23S ribosomal RNA
Rfam family: Bacterial large subunit ribosomal RNA
Source: RNAcentral